AAUCGGAAUUGUAAAGGUAGAUCAUGUAGAAUCAGAGAUACUGGUAGAAACUCUCUUGCAGAUUUACAGAUCUGCUGAUAAUAUUAAAACAAUGUUCAGCUAUGGAUUUCAAACUGUCUACAGUAUUGUCGUUUCUUAAUGAACCCGGAGUAUACCACAGAAAUGAUAAAUUAAUUAAUUUUACAUUAUCAUGCUGAACAAGAAGUUGGGAUUAUUAUAGUUGAAGAAAUUCAAUACCUGUAAUAGGAAAACAGAAUGUAUAGUUUACCAACUUUCUUUAAAAAAGGAAUCUUUUAAAGUUACUUUAAUUCUAAAAACAUUCUAAUACUGAAUUAAAAAUUGUCUAUUUAUAAUAUAAAAACAUAAAAUCUUGCAUCAGUCAGAAAUCGUAGCUACUCAUUAUCUGUUGUUCAUCUUCUCUGUAUUUUCAGAAAUCUGUGAAGAUUAAUGAAUUGGAAAUGCAUCUUAUUUUGAUCAUGGACGUCAGCUUUUACACUCUGAUAUUGGUCAACACAUUAUCCAAUUCUGCUGAUGUACACCAAUGAAUUUUUUUUAAUGUCGCUAAUGACAUAAGAAGACUUCUGAUAGACAGGUUAUCUGCUGCUGUUUCAUAACGCAAGAUAAUCAUAAGCUAAUGGUAAUGGUAAUGGUAAAUAUUACGGCGCACAACCUGGAUAGAUUAUUUGCGCCAGACACAUGAUAGUUCGAAACAAGUUACAGUUCAAUCCACACAUUAAUUCUAUGCAAUCACAAGUUUGAAACAAGAGUAGACUUCUAAAAUAAAAAGAGGUAAUAAAAAUAAUGAUAAAGUAACUCAUGAAUUGGGUAAUAAUAUACGAUGUGAUGCAAGUGUGAAAUCAUAAAAUAUGAGAUACAAUAAAAUUUAUAUCACUAAAAUCCCCAGACACAUUCAAAAAAUCAAAUUAAAUAACAAAAACCACUCUCCUUGAGGUAUGGAAAUAAAUUAGCAUUGGCCACUUUCCCGAUUAUAUGUUCAAGAGGCAAGUCAGAGUUAUUAAAAUAUUUCAAUCUAAGUGAGUUAAAAUACGGACAUUCAAUUAAAAUAUGACGAACUGAAAGAAUACUAUCACAGUGGGAACAAAGAGGUUCGCUCUCGGCCUUCAAAAGGUAGCUAUGUGUUAUAUGAGAAUGACCAAUACGCAGACGGGUUAGAAUUACAUCCUCCCUUCGGUUUCCUAUUGAGUUCCAGUCUUUAACUAGAAGUUUCAUGGUUUUAAGCUUAUUAUUAACAUGAGCAUCCCAUAGCAGCUGCCACUUCUCUAGGACUUUUCCCUUGAUAAUCCUUUUAAUAUCGGUCAGAGGAAUAUGCUGGCUGCACAGAUUAACAGCAGACUUAGCUGUGAUAUCUGCGAGCUCACAGAACUUGAUAUCCACGAAACUGUAAGCUUCGAUUUAAUCAACAACUACAAGAUUGAAAGCGUUGGAAAAAGUUUCUAAAGCUUUCAAUGCACUGUACGAAUCUGUAUAAAUAAUGAACUUUUUAUGGCUUAGCUUUGAUAUGUGAAAAAGCGCAUAAUAUAUAGCGGUCAGCUUAGAUGUCAAGACUGAGCAAGCGUAGUGCAAACGUCCGUCCUCAGUGUGGUCAUCUAUUACAAAUCCUGCUCCAACAUGGUCUUUUUGAUCUAUCUGUAUAUACGGCCACAUGAUCGCUAUAUUCAUAUCUGUGUUCGAAGAAGAGUUGCUUAUAUACGAUCUCGCAAGUGGUUCGCUUAUUGUGGCGCUGGAAAACAUUAAGAAGCUUGAUUUUCGCAUUUUCCCAAGGUUGGAUUUCAAUAUAAUAUACUGUUUGAGUGGUUAUAUCAGCUAUGACUCUUCGAUCAAAGAUCGAACUCUUAAGGAAAAGGAAGGAACACAAGAUCGUCGUGCUUGAAAGAGAAGAUGUCACCAAGCACACAUAGCUUACUAGGAUGGUCAGGUUGAGACAAUAUAUUAAAAUACUGUAGAAGAGACAGCUGCUCACGCUGCAAAUGGAGGGUUGGUUCAUAACAAUUAACAUACAGGCUCUGGAUUGGAGAUGUCCUAAAUGCCCUAGAACAAAACCUCAGUGCCUGAUGAUGAACUGGGUCUAGUUUCUGCAAAACUGACGGCCGUGCAGAUUCAUAAACAACUGAGGCAUAGUCUAGUCUACAAACGGACAAGUGCUCUGUAAACGGGAAAUAAAGACCAGCACUCUGCGCCCCAGGAGGUAUUCGACAAGACUUUUAGAAGAUUUAAUAUUUUGGUACACUUCUUCCGCUGAUGUAACACAUGAGAGAGGAAGAUAAGUUUUCGGUCGAACAAAUAACUCGCAAAAACUUUACUUCAGGUUGUACUGGAAUCACUGAUUCAUGAAUUCAGGCUCAGGAUGGAGACCUCGCUUCCUGCAGAAGUGCACGCAUACGGUCGGUGUCAAACAAACAAGGAUUUUUGUUUGUUGUGUCAAACAAACAAAAAUCCUUGUUUGUUUGACCAGUCUUGAAUUCGGUUCAGAGAUAUCUGUAGUUGCCUUUCUACAUGUUUCAUGUCUGCCCCAUGACAACUAAUCUGCAAAUAAUCAACAUAAUACGAUCCUGAAACAGUGGGAGGAAGUUGAUUUAAGACAGAGUUGAUUUUUAAUGUGAACAAAGUAACGCUGAGGCACACCCUCUUCUUGUAAAAAGACGUCUGAUAAAACAGCACCAAUCUUGACUUGAAAAUUCCUUACCCUUAAAAAAUUUUUAAUAAAAAUAAGCAGGUUGUCGCGCAAGCCAGAGUCGUGAAGAUCACGCAGUAUACCAUAUUUCCAUGCCUUAUCAUAAUCUUUCAACAUUUAAACCAGAAAUAUGAUUUAAUAUUUUCCUUAACAAAUGUACUAUUAAAAUUCAUAAAGGUCAUUAUUAUGCUAUUACAUUACCAUAACAAAUGAAAGAGAAAUGUGUUGAAAUUACAGUAUUUCGUUAUAAAAACAUUCCUUCCUCUAAUAUUGUUAGCACGAACAUAUUAUGUAUGCAGAAAAAUAUAUAGUUACAGAUAUAUCACGCUUUGUUUAUUUUAUUUCAUAAUUCUGAAAUAUUCGUUUAUAUAUAGAAAUAAAUGCAUAUAUAUAGUGGC
This 3090-nucleotide long non-coding RNA is filed under the name Stegodyphus dumicola. Its description in RNAcentral is "uncharacterized LOC118199818". Lineage: Eukaryota; Metazoa; Arthropoda; Arachnida; Araneae; Eresidae. The record is from RNAcentral.